CAUGGUGCUGCUGGACUGGGGGAUUGGAGAUGCCCCCAGCAGAGGCGUGUGCAGCCUUUGGUCUCUUGGCUGAGCACAGUGGUGGCAUGGAGGAAGAGGAAAGUUCCUCUGAGCAUGAACUAUGCUAUGCCAUCAAUCAGGCUGGCUCACUGAAGUGGGACUUUGGGGCCACCAUGAAGCGAUCUUGGAGGACGACCCAGCCAGACCUGGUCCCCAUGGCUCACUGAGGGCCUGUCUGCUGCCAGCUGUGGGUUGUGGCAGUGACUUACUGUUACAGACCUCUGUCCCCAGCCAUCUCCCAUACUGAAAAGCAUUCCUCUUUCCUAACAAACCUGCUCGACACCCCUCUGAGAUGUUUGGCCAUAAAGAAUAACUGUGAAGCUCAAAUAUUGUUGCUAAAAACUUCAUUACAGCACAGACUGCCCAAAGCAAUGGGAGAUUUCAAACACGUCCAUGAAAAAAAAAUCAAGAGAAGUGAACUCAUCCUGGAGGUUUUAAUUAGAGUGACUGCAGGUGGCAGGUCGCUGGGCUGUGGCCUCUCCCAGGCUCUUCAAGGGCACUGCAGCUCUCCAGCUGCUUGGGCUCAAGUUGCAGGUAGGGAGAGGUCAUGCAUCUUAAAAGAAAGAGAGAGAGAAAAAAAAACUAAACAGUGGUAAUGUUGAUUUAGCUGUCUGGUUCACCCUGAGCCUCUCAGGGUUUGCAGCGAUGGUUUCCUCACCAAUAUGCACUAGAUGGUGCUCUGCACCCUUGGCAAAUGGAUGUGAUGUGAUGCAUUGGAAUGGAGCUCGGUCAUCGCAGGUCAGUGGGGCAGUGGGCAUCAACAGCGGGGGUUGCAGCCUCAUUAACUCCUGCACGAGUGCCAAAAUAAUCCAUGCAUGAGCACCUGAUUAUUGUUUGUGCAUGAACACUCAUCUAACUCAUGCAUGAGUGCUCAAUUAAUUUAUGCACAAGAGCUCAAACAGCUCGUGCCUAAGCACCAAAUUAAUUCAUGCAAGAACAACCGAUUAAUUCGUUCACAAGAACCCAAUUAGCUGAUGCAUGAGCACCCAAUUAAUUUAUGUAUGAGCCCAAUUACUUCAUGCAUGAGCACCCACAGAGCUCAAGUACGAGCAACCAAUGAAUUCCUGCACCAGAGGAAUCCAUGCAUUAGCACCAAACCCACAUGAAUCCAUGCUCCCUCUUUGCUUUUGCAUGAGCACCCAUACCCAUGAAUUCACACAUGGGUACUGGUUAGUCCAUGCACAGUGCCUGUUCAGUUUGGGCACGGACUGCAAAGGUCCACCCUGCAUUGGAGACCUUGCAAAGCCCACACCAGAUUUGGGACCUCUGAUCACCUCUAAGGCCCACAGCCCCACCAGCUACAUGGUGACCCCCUUCUGCAAGGCAGCUCUUGAGCAUGGGCACAAACAUGAGCUAUUUAUUCUCUCUAAUUCAUGUCUUGGGUUUCAAGUUCAUUUCCAGUCCAGUCUGUUUUUUUAAGCUGUUAGAACAACAUCAAGAGAAACCAAGCCUCUAGAUCACAUCACCAUCACUUCCUGCACUCCAAACUGGACCCAUCCCAAGCAAGCAAACUCUUUUCUCAAUGGGUUAAGUACCGGGCAAGCAUCCUUAAGCUCAUUUGUUCCCAAAGAGGCAAGAAAAAACACAGCUUUCCUGGGUGGAUAUUCAGGGCUUGGAGGUGAAGAGUGCAGGGGGAGCCCAUGGCACACUCAUGGGGCUGCUGCCUGCUGCUGCCAGGGCUCUGCUGGGGCAGGGUCAGGACCCUGGGCUCCUCCAGCAUCAUUUUCCCACAUGUUCAGCCCAUGUGUGAGUUGCACCCAAGCCUGCGACUCCGCGCCGAGAUGCCUUUGGCAGAAGGAGCUGUGCUAAUCUCUCGACACGGGGCUGUCCCGGCUCUGCACAGAUAAAAUAAAUAUUUAGCUUUAAAACAUCUAACAGUUUUCAAAGGGCUCGGGAUGGCCCAAGCCUGUUUAGACUGCAUGCAUAGCAAAGGGUGCGUAUCCCUUUCAUCAUUGCUGUAUGUCUCUGGCGCUUUUAUCCAGUGAUCUUCACCAUGCUCCCCAGAGAGGUUGCUCCUGUUCCCUUCUGAAGGAGUGGUGAGGCAGUGGCACAGCUGCCCAGGGAGUGGGCAGGUCACCAUCCCUGGAGGCAUCCAUGAGCUAUGAAGAUACGGCACUGAGCAACGUGGUCAGUGGGCACGAUGGGGAUGGGUUGGGGUCCGACUUGGUGAGCUUAGUGGUCUUUCCCCAUGAUUCUGAGUCUAUCCUAUGACUCUACUUCUCCUCCCUGGCAGCCUCAAUUUAAUUUUGUUUUAUUCCAGCUUGCGCCCUGCACUGGCCUAAGAGAGACACACAGGCUCUUGCCAAGGCUUGGAAUUAUUGGUUUUAGAAACAAACCCAUUUUUUCAGGCUUUGGGUUCUUAAUGCCAUCAGCUUUCCAAGAAUUUUUAAAUCCAGUAAAAUUCACCCCAUCCCACAAUUGCUCAUGGAAACAAAGGCCGGGCGGACUAUUUGUGCCAAAAAGUUGGCAGGCUCAUGGCUUCGUGAAACGCAGCGUUGUUGGAAGAGUGAUCUGUUGUGGGGGAAAAUGCACAUCAUUGGUAUUUCUGGUUCUAGAAAACAAGUGGAAACAAGGCAUUUCAGAAAGAAACAACCUUUAAAAAUAGCACAUAGCAAAUGGGAAGGCUUACACCGCUAGUUUUCAGCCCUGCUCUCCCCGCAGCUAAAAGGAAAGGGGCAGGCAGGGUGAUGAUAUUUUUAGGCUCCUGUUCCUGCCAUGGAUGCAAGGAAAGCUGCUUUUCCCAAUGCUGGCAGGGAGCACUGUGCUGUGGGAAUGUCUGCCUGCCCCAGCUCCAGGGAAUGGUGGUGGAAGGCAGCUUGGAGCCAGCAGCUUGUUUGUGAGGGGCCAUCCCAGGGGCUCAGCACCAGCAUUUCAUGACAGUCAUCAGGGGAUUCCUUGCUGGGAGGUCUGCACAAGAUGAACGUGGUGCUACAGCACUUAUAAUGAGGAGUGAGGAGCUCCUUUCAGCUCGUUUAAAGCCAAGAGGUCCUAACCCUGCACCACAGAUAGCAAAGCAGAUGCAGGAAAAGUAGAAGUCAGGUCCCCUGCUAUAAGCAUGAUUUCCAAAAGUCAUUUACUUAGAGCUUCAUGCAGAGUUAGUAGAAGGGCUAGAUGUGGCAAUGGGCAUGGUGGGAACGGUUGGUGGUUGGACUAGAUGAUCUUAGAGGUCUUUUCCAGCCUUAACGUUGCUGUGGUUGCAUGAAAAGUGUUGGCAGUUGCUGCUUUAUUUAAAAAUGUGAUGGAAUGACAAGAACAGCAUAAUACAGACUUUGCUCUUCAUUAAAUGUAGACAAUAACAUGUUAUUUUAGUAGAAUUCACCUUCGUAAUAGUACUGCAAGAUAUUCAGCAUUUCCAAGCACCAGUCAUCGAGGAAGACUUUCCAGACACCAACAAGGCACCAUCAAAUCUAGUAGGCACAGCAAAUAGAGGUGGAGGUCUGACAAUCCAGUCAGUACUCAUUCAGGCUUCCCAAAGUAAGCCCACAGUGGUGAAGCCACAUUAUAAAGCACUGAUCCAGGAAGAACUCACUCUACCCCAGCUCAGAAUGCAAGAAGCAUUCCGUGAAGCAGCAGGCUCCACCCUCCAUCAGGUAUGGUGGUGUCUGAAUGGCUGAUCUCCCAGCAGAAGGGCUGCAAGGAGGCAGUGACCAACUGGGCACAGCUCAGGACAAGUAACCCACUGCUCCCAUAUCACCUGGAUCUCCCCUGUCUGAAAGGAGGAGUGGGGUAGGGGACACAGAUCUGCUGUUACUUUGGGGCCAUGGAUGGAGGCACCGACACAGUGACAAGCUUCAGUAAGAAAGUCACAGAGAUAAUACUGUGUGCCGAGAAAUGAACAGGUUGUCAGUUCCUAGAGUUAGAGCAACCUGAAAUAGGCCGAAGACUUGCAGCUGUGUCAGAAGUAUUCAGCCAUCCCUCCUCCCAUGCCCACCAUAGCUCCCAGGAAAGGGGUGAGGGAAAAAAAAAAAAUCUUGCCCACACAUUACACAGCUUCUGACUGCCCCAGUGUAGAGGUUGAAAGAUUACUGAGGCAGGUUUCAAACAGCAGUCCCUCUGACCAGAGUUCUUACAUCAAUACUACCGUAUGAGUCCAUCCAUCCUUUUUCCCCCACAACUCUCAUCCUUCAACAUCCAACUUCUCCCCGUGUUGCUUCUCAUCACUCCAUGCAACAGACACACACCCUUCCUUUCAAGGAAAAACAUAAUAAUAAUAAUAAAUAAAUAAAAACAGGCAAAAAAACAGCCUCUGCUUUUCAGCUCAUAAAAAAAUAAA
This 4333-nucleotide long non-coding RNA is filed under the name Gallus gallus (chicken). RNAcentral's name for it is "lncRNA (ENSGALG00010019633.1)". The record is from RNAcentral. Lineage: Eukaryota; Metazoa; Chordata; Aves; Galliformes; Phasianidae.